RNAcentral lists this ribosomal RNA (1222 nucleotides) under Nesophrosyne makaihe. Its description in RNAcentral is "16S ribosomal RNA". Lineage: Eukaryota; Metazoa; Arthropoda; Insecta; Hemiptera; Cicadellidae. The record is from RNAcentral.
UUAUUAAAAAAUUUAGUGUUAUUUUAAGUUAAUUUGAUAAAAUUUUUUGUAUUAGUAUGUGUAGAAAUUAAAAUUUAGUUUGAACUGUGAAGGACCCUAUAAAAUACGCUAAGAAUUAUGUUGAUAGUACCUUUUGUAUCAGGGUGAAUUAACUAAUCAAAUUAAAUUUAUUUUCCCGAAUUUGAAUGAUCAAUUUUUGUAUUAUAUAUUUGUGUCAAAAGAUUUUGUAAUACUCUAUUAGUAAUUAUAUGUUAGUCGUUUUCUAUUUAUCUGGUUAUUAAGGAAUUUAAAUUUAAUUUUACACUUUGAGUUACUAUUGUAUUUUUAAUAGAUAUAUUUAAGUGUUAAUUUAUUGGGGAUAAUCUCAGUAAAUAAAUUAUUAUACGAGUUUGUUUUUUGUUUUUUUUCUUUUAAAUUUUGUAUUUAGUUUGUAUUAAAUUGGUUAAAUUUAUUAUCAUUUUUUUGUAUAUAUUUUUAUACUUAAUUCAUAGGUUUAAUUUUUAAUCUUAUUUAAUAAUGAUUUAAUUAGUAUAAUAAAAUAAAUUAAAGUAAAUGAACUCGACAAAUAUUAUUUCCAACUGUUUAUCAAAAACAUUUCUUUUUGGUUUUAUAGAAAGUAUCUUCUGCCCUAUGGUUAAAUUUCUAAAUGGCUGCAGUAUUUUGACUGUGCAAAGGUAGCAUAGUAAUUAGUUUUUUGAUUGGAAGCUGGUAUGAAUGGGUGUAUGAGAAUUAUAUUUUAUUUCUUUAAAUAUUAAAAUUUAAAUUUAAGGUUAAAAUGCUUUAUUGAUUUAUUGGGACGAUAAGACCCUAUAGAACUUUAUAUAAUUUAGUAUUAUUAGGUUUUGUGGUGAUAUACUUUUUAAUAUAAAUAUAUUAUAUUUUGCUGGGGUGGCAGUUAAAUAAUUAACUUUAGUUUUAAAAAUCAUUUGUUUAUGUAAUUCUAGAUCCUUACUCAGGAAAUAAGACUUAGUUACCUUAGGGAUAACAGCGUAAUUUUAAUGGGGAGUUCAUAUCUAUAUUAUAUUUUGCGACCUCGAUGUUGAAUUAAGAAAAUUAUAAGAAGCAGUAUUCUUAAUAAUAAGUCUGUUCGACUUUUAAAUUCUUACAUGAUUUGAGUUCAAACCGGCGUGAGCCAGGUUGGUUUCUAUCUGAUAAAAGUAUUAUUUACAUUUAGUACGAAAGGACCAGUGUAAAUUACCUAUGAGGUAAAUAUUUUUAAUUA